Non-coding RNA from Triticum urartu, 3607 nucleotides. The record is from RefSeq and is a predicted model, not a curated record. NCBI's taxonomy places the organism in Eukaryota, Viridiplantae, Streptophyta, Magnoliopsida, Poales, Poaceae.
UCGCGUAGCGCAGACCUAAAUUGAACACGCUCCCGCAACUGUAACGGCCCCCCUCGCGCGCCGCCCCGACGGCUCACGCGCCGAGCGUCCCGCCUCCGCCGCCGCUCAUCGUCGUCGUCCUCCUCCUCCUAGCCGACGUCCGGCUUCCGCCUCCGCAACUCCUCCUCUCCCUAGCCGACGUCCCACCGCGGCUGCUCCUCUCCCAUCUCGCCGAUGUCCCGCCUCCGCCUCCGCCAUUGCUCCUGCUUCACCACGCCCAUGUCCCGCAUCCGCCUCCGCCGCCGCCUCUCCUCUUCCACCUCACGACCCACACCCUCCCGGUCUCCCCGCGCCGCCUUUGCGGCGGCCACGGAGCGUGUCCGCGCCGGAACGCUCAGCCCGCAAGACGCACACCACCUGUUCGACGAAUUGUUUCAGCAGGCCACCCCGGUCCCCGAGCGCCCCCUCAACGGAUUCCUUGCCGCCCUCACCCGUGCCACGCCCUCCGAAGCCUGCAGAGACGGCCCCGCUCUCGCCCUCUCCCUCUUCAACCGUGUCUGCCGAGAAGAAGCCGGCAUGCGGGUGGCGCCGCCCACCAUCUUCACGUACGGCGUCCUCAUGAACUGCUGCUGCCGCAUGCGUCGUCCGGAACUUGGGCUCGCCUUCUUCGGCCGCCUCCUAAGGACGGGCCUGAAGGCAGACAAGAUCGUCGCCAACACUGUCCUCAAGUGCCUGUGCUGCGCUAAACGGGCAGACGACGCUGUGAAAGUGCUGCUUCAUAGGAUGACCGAGCUGGGGUGUGUGCCUGAUGCCUUCUCAUACGCCAUUGUCCUGAAGAGCUUAUGUGAUGAUAACAGGAGCCAGCAGGCGCUCUACCUGCUCCGGAUGAUGGCGAAAGAAGAAGGUGUGUGCUCCCCUGACGUGGUCACAUAUAACACCGUCAUCCAUGGCUUCUUUAAGGAAGGAAAAAUAGGCAAGGCCUGCAAUCUAUUCCAUGAAAUGACGAAGCAAGGGUUUGUGCCUAAUGUGGUGACAUAUAACUCGGUUAUCAAUGCAUUGUGCAAGGCCCGAGCAAUGGACAAUGCAGAGUUGUUCCUUCGGCAGAUGGUUGAUAACGGCGUUCAACCGAAUAAAGUGACAUAUACUAGCAUGAUCCAUGGAUAUUCCACUUUGGGCCAGUGGAAAGAGGCGACUAAACUGUUCAGAGAAAUGACAAGCAGUGGUCUUAUACCAGAUAUUGUCACUUGGAACUCGUUCAUUGACUCCCUUUGCAAGCAUGGAAGAAGCAAAGAAGCUGCAGAAAUUUUUCAUUCCAUGUCUGCAAAGGGCCACAAGCCUGAUAUCAUCUCCUACACCACUCUUCUUCAUGGGUAUGCCAAUGAAGGAAGCUUUCCUGAUAUGAUGAGUCUCUUUAAGUCAAUGGAAGGCGACGGUAUUGUAGCCAACUGCCAAUUUUUCAACAUAUUAAUUGAUGCAUAUGCUAAACGAGGAAUGAUGGACGAAGCUAUGCUCAUAUUUACUGAAAUGCCAGGACAAGGAGUCAAUCCAAAUGUAGUCACCUAUUCAACUGUGAUAGCUUCACUUUGCAGAAUGGGUAGGCUGGCUGAUGCAAUGAAUAAGUUCAGUGAGAUGAUUGGUACGGGAGUACAACCGAACACAGUUGUUUAUCACUCCCUAGUUCAGGGCUUAUGUACACAUGGUGAUUUGGUGAAAGCGAAGGAGUUGAUUUCUGAAAUGAUGAAUAAAGGUAUUCCUCGUCCAAACAUUGCAUUCUUCAGUUCAAUAGUACACAGUCUAUGCAAAGAAGGAAGGGUUAUGGAUGCACACCAUAUCUUUGACUUGGUUAAAGACAUAGGGGAGAGAUCUGACAUCAUUAUGUUUAAUACGCUGAUUGAUGGAUAUUGCCUAGUCGGUGAGAUGGGCAAAGCAGUCAGUGUACUAGAUGUCAUGAUAUCAGCCGGCAUUGAGCCUGAUAUCUUUACAUAUAAUACACUUGUCAAUGGUUAUUUUAAGAGUGGAAGGAUCGAUGAUGGGUUGAAUCUGUUCAGAGAAAUGUCACAUAAGAAAAUUAAACCUACAACUGUUACAUAUAACAUCAUACUGGAUGGAUUAUUUCGUGCUGGGAGAACCGUUGCUGCCAAGAAAAUGCUCCAUGAGUUGAUCGGAUGUGGAACAACAGUGAGCUUGUCCACAUACAACAUAAUUCUUAAAGGACUUUGUAGAAAUAAUUGCACCGACGAAGCAAUCGUCAUGUUCCAGAAAUUACACACAAUUAAUGUAAAGUUCAAUAUCACAACACUCAAUACCAUGAUUAAUUCAAUGUACACUGUUCAGAGAAGAGAAGAAGCUAAAGAUUUGUUUGCUGCAAUAUCAGACAGCGGGUUGGUGCCCAAUGCCUCUACAUACGGCAUAAUGAUACGAAAUCUUCUAAAAGAAGGAUCAGUGGAAGAAGCUGACAGUAUGUUCUUAUCAAUGGAGAGGAGUGGUUGUGCUCCUUGCUCUCGUCUUUUAAAUGAUACUAUUAGAACGUUAUUGGAGAAGGGGGAGAUAGUCAAGGCCGGAAAUUAUAUGUCUAAAGUUGAUGGCAAGAGCAUCUCACUUGAAGCUUCAACUUGUUCAUUGUUGUUGUCUCUGUUUUCUGGGAAAGAUAAGUGUUCGUGUGGUUUGGAGCUCCUCCCUCUCAACGGUGUGGACAAGUGCCUCACCAAGAUUGAGCUGGGUGAUGGUGCCACACUGCCACCAUGGUGUUCUGGUCGGUGCUUAGCUGCUGGGCGUGUAUCCUAUGGACAUCGCUCCUAAAUCCUAAUCCGUACGCCACCUCCACGCAUGGGCCAUCUGGUGUGUGAUGUGUUUGCUAAUGGUAAAAGAUAUCAAGCUAUUUGGAGUUCUCUGAACCUCAGCAUAUCAAGUGUGUUUUGGGCCGAUGGCAGUUAUAGUAAAAUCAAUGAACUAUUCUACAUCAUCAAGCUGUUUGGCGUUCUCUGAACCCCCCAGCACCAGGAGCUUGAUGAUUUUACUACCUGACCGAUCUUGAGAUGAAGUUUCUGUGAAGAGAAAGUAAAUUGUUAUCUUGUCAUCCAGUGGAUUGGUUAGUGAAAUUGGCACUUCUGGUCAUCUAACGUUGCUCCAACAUCUCAGAGCCCCUUAAAUAUGCUAUUUCUUCGUCUGUGAUGUAGAUUCACCCACAAAGCAGCAGUGUGUCAAUCAUGAUUUCGGGAGAAUUCGUCAUGCUGAUAUGGUGCCCUAACCAAAGCCAGGCUGUCAGUCUACAUCUUAUGCAUGGGUUGCACCUGAUAAUAUAUUUAAGGUCUUAAAAGUUUGUAUUAUGCAAUCUCAAUUUUUGUUUAGGAAAUAAUUGCCAAAUUCAGCCCUAGUUACCUACUGCAAGAUUUUUAUGUUUACUGAGCUAAUAUGCUCUUCAGAACUAUUCUUAUUAGGUUAUCAAAUUGUUCUCUCAUGUGAUGAGGAAAGUGUUUUCUCGUACGAACAAGUAUUUGCUUGUCAUUGAACUGGAGGAUUUACUUAUUCUUUUUAUAUAAUUUAGCUAUUGUACUGUAUAAAGUUUACUUGGCCCUUCUUUUUCGGACUGAUAAAUCACGGUGGCUUAAUCCAGUAUAUCCAUUUGCUA